This 5320-nucleotide long non-coding RNA is filed under the name Sus scrofa (pig). Its description in RNAcentral is "lncRNA (ENSSSCG00025021589.1)". Lineage: Eukaryota; Metazoa; Chordata; Mammalia; Artiodactyla; Suidae. The record is from RNAcentral.
UCCACAGCUGUGCGAUCACUUGUGCCUAAGAUACGUAUUUGAAACCAGGUUCUGUAAUUUUGUUAUUUUAAAUUCUGAAGGAGGACAAGUGUAGAUGGUUGAAUCCAUUACCUGAAAAGGUUUUAUCUGAAGUAAAACAACUGAUGUAUCAAUUCUGAACAACUUGGAGGUAUGAUCCUUGUGUUACUAAGUAUUCCUUAAUUUGAUUCUCUUUUUCUCUCUUUGGGUUUAUAAGCAAUUCAGCGAACGGUGGUGGCCAGUAUAUGAGCUAAAUAGUUUGUUAAAUUUUUUCUAUCUACAAUGUUCUACUGAUCUUAAAAAAUAAAAUCAUUGUAUUUUUUGAGUCUUACAAUUUUAUCGGUCUGUUGUAGAGUAGUUUUUUAAAUAAAGUGUUAAAUUUUCUGAAGGACAUAGAUGUAGUUUAACCUUUAACUUCUUAAAUUAUUUGAGAAGAAGAAAAAGGAUAUUAUUGUUGCAUUAAGAAAUUAUAUCAAAGAAUAAUCCUGGUUAUUUUUACUUUUUCUAUGCUUAUGUUGAUGCUAAAUCAUAGCAUAAAAAAUACUUAGGUAGUAUUAGAGGAAAAUUAUGAAUUGUUACUGUGGAAAUUUAAUAAUCUAAUGUUGAAAGAAUUGUGUACUUAGAACUUUAACUGUCCUUAUUUUGAGUUCAGUUCAUUUUAGAUUUAUUUAAUUCCUAAAUAAAAUCAUACAAUUCAGUCAAUUGGAGAUUUUGUUGACAUUAUUAAGUUAAAAAUUGAUAAAGUGGUAAUUCUCGUAGUUUAUUUGUAGAGAAAAUAUGUGGUGUUUUAAAAUUCUUUACGAAGGGACCAGGUAAAGCUUAAGUUAAUGUGGAUUUGAAAAAAAAAAUUCCUAGAAUAUCCCUGUAGUUUAUUGAAAACUAAGCCGCUUAUUCAACAGUUCUUUAUCAGAAAUGAUAGAGUACAGCUUUUAAACUUAGUAUCUCAGUAAUUAGCCUUCAUGUAGUCAUUUAGUUGGAUUGGGCUGCAGUUUGCUUUUGUAAUUUCCAUGAAGACAGAAAAAUUUAAAACGUACUAACUUUGUACUUUGUUGAGUAUAUUUUUAAGAAAUUGGCAUUAUUUUAGAAAUGCAUAUUUAGAACUAAAUAAGGGAAUUGUUACUAAAUUACUUUCGUGACUCAUACAUUAAAGAAAAAUUGAGGGAACCUCUGGUUAUCCAUUAAUCUGUAUCAUUGCAGCUACAGUACAAUCAUACAAAUUUGUACUAACUGGAUUUGUAGAAGGUUCAAAUUAUAGAAUAUCCCUGAAGAAAUCCAAUAUUGUUAUCUUUCAAGUUAAAGUUGAAUAAUAAAGUUCUGGAAGCGCUUCCUCCUAUUAAGAGCCAUCUGAGUGUGGCUACUGUGUCUGUGUUUGUAGCUAGUGGUGUAAUUCACUGAAUUAGCAAACAUGACUUGUAGUUAUACUCUGUGUGUAAUACAGAAUACUUGACAAAAUAUAUUUGAAGAUGCUUAAACAGUUGGUUAUUUGAAAUGCCUGUUGUCGCUGCCAGCACAGAAUAUUGUUAAAACUACGAAGUGCUGUAACAUAGACUGAGGCGUCUCCUAAAUAGAAAUCAGCUGCAUCCUGAUUCUAGUUUGGAUGAAGGAAAAAAGUUACUAAUGCAGUAAAGUUUAAAUUCAUGAAAAUUUUAUCAUAAUUGCAAUCAAGGAAGCAUCCUUUUAAAAAAAUUAGUCUUUAAUUCAGGUUUUUCAUUAAUUGUAGGAUAGUCUUAAUUAGUGAGAUUUUAGUCUGCAUGGACUUUUUAGGGGAUAAAGUAGACUGUUACCGUAUAGAAAUCCUUUCAGCAGAAAUCAACAGAACAAUGUACAUCGACUCUAAUAAAAGUUUUUUUGAAAAAGGGAUCCUUUCUUUUUGUAAAAUGUGUUAAUAACGUAGAUGCUGAAUGACUUUUACAGAGAAGAACUCUGUCUGUGUUCACGGAGGUUCGUUGCGUUUCCGAACUCUUUGGUUCUUUGCUUUGGUAUUAAAGAGUGGCUUUUUACACCAUAAAUAUUAUUAAUAAUUUUUCAGUUACUUGAAAUUAAAAGGCUUCGUGAUGUAGACUCCACACUCUCCUCAAAUGCAACAUAUACUAGUGUCUGAAGGAAAAGGCAGUGAUUCCUCGGUCUUUAAAGAGUGUAGUUCUUCACGCUUCAUCUUGUUGUCUCUGACACAUGUGACCUUAGGAGGACUGUUGACGAGACCCUUACCUGCUUGCUAACGUAUUCUUGAAGGAAGUCUCGGUAAAAAUACAAAGCGACAUUCUCUGUGUGCUUUAGUGAACUCCUUAGGUGUUGGGGAAUGUCUCUUUUCUGGAAAGAAUUAACUGGGUCUUAGAACUACCUUAAUGGCUGCUCAUAUUGGAUGAGGAAAAGCAUCGCCUUUGUUAGAUAGUGUUUCAGAGGGUGCGGAAUAACUCCGUACGAUGCCUCAUUUUGCUUUGUAUGUGGGACACAAAUGUUUUCACCUCUAAAAAGGGAUCGCGGGCACAUAAAAAGGAGAUUAAACCUGUUCUCAAGGAGUACGUGUGGUGUAGUACAGUUCUGGGGAGGAUUUUGAAAUCAACUAACUUAAAAAGCUUUAAAAAAAAAAAAAAAGCCAGCAGUGCUGUUGAAUUUCCGUAGCAGAAAGGAUACCUUCCAAAGCGCUAGUUCCUUGGCCGGACUUGGGUAAAUUAAAUGCCCUUAAUGGUUGUUUUUUUUUUUUUUUUUUUUUAAUUCAAGUCUUUAUUUUGAAAUCAUCACAGACUAGCACAGACAAUUUUAAGAAAUGAUGCAGAGGGGUCUCACGUGCCCUUCGCCCAGUUCCUGCAGUGGUGGCACCUUGCAAAACUAUAGCAUAACGUCACAGCGAGGAACUCGCCUCAUCUUCCUGUUUCAAAGCGCCUUUUGAGUCUAUCCACGUGGACAAAGCAUAGCACCAUCUUCUCUUUCAUUCUGAGUAAAGGACAGCUGUGCAUAACUGAACAUCUGAAAAUUGUUUUUAAAAUGAUGAUUAUAUGAUGAGACUGCUGUUACUACCUUAUGGGCACAAAGAUCCAUUCUAGGAAGCUGUUCAUCUGUGAAUAGUCGAUUCUCAGGGACUUUGCGAGGGGUUCUCUCUGUUUUUCUGCGGGGUUUAACUUAUGAGUUCUAUUGGCAAAUUUUAUUUUGCCUUUUAAAAAUAGGAGUAAUACAGAUCAUUUUAAGUUGAAAUCUUUGCAUAAUUUUGGUAAUUAUCCGUUAUCAUAAUGAUAACAUUUCUUGGGUGGUAGUGCAGCUCUUUUGUUAGAAAGACAAAUGUGUCCGCGUGUAGCUAGCACAUCACUCGUUUUAGAUGUUAGGACAGCAGUUUUCAGAUUUUACGGAUGUAGAGAAUCACAUGCAGAACUGAUGGAAAAUGCAGACUCCCAUCUCCACUCCUGGACAUUCUUCUGUCUUAGGAGGUCAGGGCUGGGGCCCAGGGAUCUGCAUUUGUAAUUCAGUACUGCAGAGAAUUCUGAUGUGCAGGGCCCCCGAACUGCACUUUGAAAAACCCUGCACGGGGUGUUGAGGCUCUGCAGCAUUAUAUUGUGGAAGCAAUAGAAUAUUUGUAUUUGUCUCCAAAUGUAUAUCAAGAAGAUCAUUUUCAUUUUUCAGAUGUUUGUUCAAAUAUGGAAUCACCGUUUUUCACAGUCUUACUCCUUAACCUAUUGUAACUUUCAGAUUUUUUUUUCAACUGAGAUAUAAUUGACACGUUAGUUUUAGGCAUACAGCAUAAUGAUUUGAUAUUUCGAAAUGAUCACCAUACAUAGUUACAGCUUUGAUUUUCUCGUGUUGAGGCAUUUCGAGAUCUCUUCUCUUAGCCACUUUUAAAUAUGCAGUACAGUAUUUUUAAUUAUUGUCACCAUCCUGUACAUUUUACCCCCAGGACUUAGCAGUUUUAUGGUGGACAUUUGUCCGUUUUUUUGAGCACCUUAACCCUUUGCACCCAGCCUGGAACCUUUCCAUUUCAGCACCGCAACUUUGUCACAGCUCCGCCCUCAGUGGAAAUUUUCAAACCUAGAGAAGCAAACGGCAUUUGCACAGUAAAGAAAAGAGCUGGGAAUGGAGAUUGAGAACCACUCUAAAAGUGCUGCUUUUGAUAAUCGCAUUUAAUCGAGUAGUUUGGAUGGGAUUUUUUUUUUUCCAUCUAGAGGCUUUUUUAUAUAUUUUUAAAUAUAAUGAUAGAAAAUUAAAAGUAAAAAAAGAAAAUUAUAGGAGUUCUCAUUGUGGCACAGCAGAAGCAAAUCCGACUAGGAACCACAAGGUUGCAGGUUCAGUCCCUGUGAGCUGUGGUGUAGGUCGCAGAUGCAGCUCAGAUCUGGUGCUGUGGCUGUGGUGUAGGCCGGCAGCUGUAGCUCCGACUGACCCCUCGUCUGGGAACCUCCACAUGCCUCCAGUGCGCCCUUAAAAAUAUAUAUGUAUAAAUGAAAAAGUAAUAAGGAUUAGGAGUGAAGUAGAGAGGGAGGAAACAUUGGCAUAAAACAAAACAAAGAAAAUCAGAGUGGUUUCUUUUUAAAAGCUUGGGAGACGCCUGUGAAGGCCACUUCCUGACCUCACAUCGUCAGGUGAGGCUCAGCUUCCAAAGCAGAGAAAUAGGAGAAAUUUUGGAAACACUUCCAGCUAAACUGAUUUUAAAGUGAUAAACGCUAGGCAAUUCAAAACAGAAUUACUUCAUUAAUCUAGAAAAUUAAUUUGUGUGCAGCAUUUUAUUUCUCAGAGGUGACAGAAAAAUGAGGUGUGACUUAGUCACUUGAUCUUUGAGUAACAAGCACCCUUCUGGGGAAGAAGCUGGGUAAUGAUACAUCCCUCUUUUCAGGCAGUUUUCUUGCUGUGAACCCGAAAGUCUGGACGGGCUUUCCUUCAUUUCCAGUUUGCUGAACCCCCUUUUCACAACUGGCUUAGUUGCAACAUACUGGUGUUUUAGGAAACUUCUCACCAUAAAGCCCAGUUUAAACACUUUGGUAGUUUGAAUACUGUCUUUUUUUUUUUUUUUCUUGAUGUGUGCAUGACGAAACUUAGAGUGAAUUUCUUACUUCAAAAUACAUUUUUUGGGAGUUCCUGUUGUGGUUCAGCAGUCUUGAACCCAGCUAGCAUCCAUGAGGACGCCGGUUCGAUCCCUGGCCUCACUCAGUGUGUUAUGGAUCUGGCGUUGCCGUGAGCUGUGGUUUAGGUCACAGAUGCGGCUUGGAUCCGGCAUUGCUGUGGCUGCAGUGUAGGUCGGCAGCUGCAGCUCUGAUUCGACCUGGUCUGGGAACUUCCAUAUGCCAUGCGUGCCGCCCUAAAUUAAAAAAAAAAAAAAAAA